This 448-nucleotide ribosomal RNA is filed under the name uncultured bacterium. Its description in RNAcentral is "bacterial SSU rRNA". It matches the Rfam family "Bacterial small subunit ribosomal RNA", at positions 355 to 825 of the family's 1533-position model. The record is from RNAcentral.
UGGGGAAUAUUGGACAAUGGGCGCAAGCCUGAUCCAGCCAUGCCGCGUGAGUGACGAAGGUCUUCGGAUUGUAAAGCUCUUUUUGGCGGGGACGAUAAUGACGGUACCCGCAGAAUAAGCCCCGGCUAACUUCGUGCCAGCAGCCGCGGUAAUACGAAGGGGGCUAGCGUUGUUCGGAAUUACUGGGCGUAAAGCGCACGUAGGCGGACUGAUAAGUCAGGGGUGAAAUCCCGGGGCUCAACCUCGGAACUGCCUUUGAUACUGUUAGUCUCGAGUCCGGAAGAGGUGAGUGGAAUUCCUAGUGUAGAGGUGAAAUUCGUAGAUAUUAGGAAGAACACCAGUGGCGAAGGCGGCUCACUGGUCCGGUACUGACGCUGAGGUGCGAAAGCGUGGGGAGCAAACAGGAUUAGAUACCCAGGUAGUCCCUGAGCGGGCUGGCAAGGCGCAU